RNAcentral lists this ribosomal RNA (358 nucleotides) under Haptophyta environmental samples. RNAcentral's name for it is "SSU rRNA". It matches the Rfam family "Eukaryotic small subunit ribosomal RNA", at positions 595 to 957 of the family's 1831-position model. Lineage: Eukaryota; Haptophyta. The record is from RNAcentral.
UAGCGUAUAUUAAAGUUGUUGCAGUUAAAACGCUCGUAGUCGGAUUUCGGGGCGGUCUCGCCGGUCUGCCGAUGGGUAUGCACUGGCAGGGCCGUCCUUCCUUCCGGAGACUGCGCCUACUCUUAGCUGAGCGGGUGCGGGAGACGGAUCGUUUACUUUGAAAAAAUCAGAGUGUUUCAAGCAGGCAGCUCGCUUUUGCAUGGAUUAGCAUGGGAUAAUGAAAUAGGACUUUGGUGCUAUUUUGUUGGUUUCGAACACCGAAGUAAUGAUUAACAGGGACAGUCAGGGGCACUCGUAUUCCGCCGAGAGAGGUGAAAUUCUCAGACCAGCGGAAGACGAACCACUGCGAAAGCAUUUG